Molecule: long non-coding RNA, 2214 nt
Filed under: Macaca fascicularis (crab-eating macaque)
Lineage: Eukaryota; Metazoa; Chordata; Mammalia; Primates; Cercopithecidae
Description: lncRNA (ENSMFAG00000062612.1)
Source: RNAcentral
GUCAAAUAUCACAAGAAAGGUUAUUCUUGUUAUUUCAAAACCUGCUUGAACCAAGAAGCAUUGUGUGUCCUUGCGGGGGAGGAGAGGAUGGGUUCUAAUUAAGCUCAUCGUGGUCUUCUGUUUAAUUAAUUAAUUACUUAAUGUUUGUCAAGUGAUUUGAGGAUGCUAAAUGAAAUCACCCAAAUCAAUGCUGAGGACACACAGAAUAUUGAAGGAUCAACUCUACUUCUUCCAAAUACACUUUAAUACUUUCACUGCCAAACCAGAGUUCGAGAAAUAACUGCGGUGGAAUGAUAAUGAGAAGUUUAACAGUUUUAUGAUGGUUGAAGCUGACUUUAUGAAAGUUGAUAAAUUUCAUCUUGUAGGUUUCAAUUUCUCAUUCCCUACCAAGAGAUGGGGAGAAUACAUUGAUACUGCAUUUCAAAUUGGCUAGAUCAGAAGGAACAGCAGCUAAAAUCCAUUACAACCCAAUUACAUCCAUCAGCUGAAGCUGUGUGCAUUCACUCGUGAACAUCAGCAUUUAAUCCAUAAAGAGGAACUAAUGAGAAAUUUGAAAAUGGAAUCCACGCAUCAGUAAGUUUGGAGAGAUUUUUCUGGGAUUAAUGACCUGCCAGAGCAUCUUCAACAUGCUGGAAAGCUAUUCUCUCUGGGUUUGUUUACUGACCAAGAGGAAAAAAAGGGGGUUUCCUUCUGUCUGCUCAUCAAAUAUUUGAAAGACUACUCAUUUCAGUCCUUGAAAAUGGGAUACCGUGAGCUUUGGAAGUAAGGAAAUACACUGUGUCCUUCUCGUGCUUCCCUGUUGUAUAGAGAAGACGUUCAUCUCAGGACCAUUUCCUCCAAAAGGCCUUCUCAUGAAUUCCUGCUAUCUCCAAAAACUUGUGUUCAUUUGAUGUUCAUGAGUUGCCCUACUGAUUCUGAGAAUCUAUCUGGAGAUUUUUGCUGUAUAGACCCACUCAUAAUAGGCUUUGGUAUCAGUCAUCAUUUACAUCCCGGCUCCUGAGUUGAAACUGCCAAAUAAUAUCUUAUUCAUUCAUUUAUUCAUGCAUUCACGUAUUCAUUCAUUCAUGCACACAUAUAUUUAAUACAUAUUGAUUACUUACUAUGUGCUAAGCACUAUUUUUGAUGCUUUGGUUAGGGUAAAGAAAAGAAAAGACCCAAAUCUGUGCCCUUUUUCUAGAGAGAGAGAUAAACAAAAAAUUAUAAGUAAGUUAUAUUGUAUAUGAGAAGCUGGUAAAUGAAUGCGGAAAACUAAAGCAGGGAAGAGAAACUGGAGAUGGAGUGGGGAUAUGGAGACAAUUUGAAUAGAAUGUCAAGGAUGGCCUCACUGAUCUGAGAGAAGCCCAUGAUCAGAGAGAAGACCCAUGUGUAAAGAGUGUUCCAAAUGGAUAUAACAGCAAAUGCACAGGUCAUGACCUGGGAGCGUGCUUGUCUUGUUUGAGAAACAUACGGAGGCCAAUAGAUGCAAUAGCAUGAUGGAUGUGCAGAGUAGUAGGAACUGAAGCAUAGAAUAAUUGAGAAACUAGAGUGCAGAGAGAGUCAACCACCCUAUCUGGCUCCACUCUGAGUUACAAAGGAAAGCGUGGCAAGGAUAGGAACAGAGGAGUGACUGCCAGCUAAAGUUUUUAAAUGAUCAUGUCUUCCUUUUUAUAAAAAUACACUGUACGAGAGAUGCGUGUGAAAACAGGGAGACUUGUUAAAAAGCUAUUACAAUAUUCCAAGCAAGAGACGAUAGUGAAUUGGAUCAGAGAAGUAGCAGGCAAGGUGGCAAAACAGAAAGGUUAAGUCAGGGUUAUAUUUUGAAAGUAGAUGCAAGAGGAUUUUCUAACAUAUUUGAUGUGGGAUGUGAGAGAAAGAGGAAAGAUAAGGUGAUUUUGAAGGCCAACAUUUUUGGUCCAAGGAGCUGAAAUAAUUAAUUACAAUUAAGGCACAUGAGGGGAGGGAUAGGCUGCAAGGGGCUGCAGAAAGGUAGUGAACAAGGCCAGGGGUUCAUGUUCAUUUUUGCACAUGUUUAAAUUAAUUUACUUUAUAGAUAUCCUACUGGAGGUGUUGAGUAGGCUGUUAGAUACAUGAAUUGGGAGUUCUGGAGUUUAGCAGAGAGGUCUAGACUCAAGACAUUAAUUAGAGAAUCAUCAGAGUAUGCAUGACAGAAUUUGGAUCACCAAGGGAGGAAGUAUUAACAGAGAAGAGAAAUACAAGUUUAGAGAUGGACCCAAG